RNAcentral lists this ribosomal RNA (482 nucleotides) under uncultured bacterium. RNAcentral's name for it is "bacterial SSU rRNA". It matches the Rfam family "Bacterial small subunit ribosomal RNA", at positions 28 to 507 of the family's 1533-position model. The record is from RNAcentral.
GAUGAACGCUAGCGGCAGGCCUAAUACAUGCAAGUCGAGGGGUAACAUGACGCUUCGGUGUUGAUGACGACCGGCGCACGGGUGCGUAACGCGUAUGCAAUCUACCUACAGCAGAGGGAUAGCCCGUGGAAACAUGGAUUAAUACCUCAUAAUACAGGGGGCCCACCUGGGCAUAUUGUUAAAGAUUUAUCGGCUGUAGAUGAGCAUGCGUCCCAUUAGCUAGUUGGUACGGUAACGGCGUACCAAGGCGAUGAUGGGUAGGGGUUCUGAGAGGAUGAUCCCCACACUGGUACUGAGAUACGGACCAGACUCCUACGGGAGGCAGCAGUAGGGAAUAUUGGUCAAUGGACGAAAGUCUGAACCAGCCAUGCCGCGUGCAGGAAGACGGCCUUCUGGGUUGUAAACUGCUUUUCUCAGGGAAGAAAAAGGUCUUGCGAGACAAAUUGCCGGUACCUGAGGAAUAAGCACCGGCUAACUCCGUG